UCUGGUGGUCUUUGGCCAUCCGAGUUGUAAUCUAGAGAAGUGUUACCCGCGUUGGACCGUGUACAAGUCUCCUGGAAUGGAGCGUCAUAGAGGGUGAGAAUCCCGUCUUUGACACGGACUACCAAGGCUUUGUGGUGCGCUCUCAACGAGUCGAGUUGUUUGGGAAUGCAGCUCAAAAUGGGUGGUAAAUUCCAUCUAAAGCUAAAUACAGGCGAGAGACCGAUAGCGAACAAGUACCGUGAGGGAAAGAUGAAAAGAACUUUGGAAAGAGAGUUAAACAGUACGUGAAAUUGCUGAAAGGGAAACGCUGGAAGUCAGUCGCGUUGGCUAGGAAUCAACCUUGCAUUUUGCAGGGCUUACUUCUUAGUUGACGGGCCAACAUCAAUUUUGAUUGCUGGAAAAAGGCCUAGGAAAUGUGGCACCUUCGGGUGUGUUAUAGUCCUGGGUUGUAUACAGUGAU
Molecule: ribosomal RNA, 460 nt
Filed under: Cyathus albinus
Lineage: Eukaryota; Fungi; Basidiomycota; Agaricomycetes; Agaricales; Nidulariaceae
Description: eukaryotic LSU rRNA
Rfam family: Eukaryotic large subunit ribosomal RNA
Source: RNAcentral